ACCCAAACGACAUUUUGCACUAACAAAAUCUCUCUAUUAUUUAGAGAAAACAUAAUCCUUCAAGGAAACAGGAAAGAAAGGUCGGCAAACCAUAAGAAAAUAUCAGUCCUAUAAUUCAAGCACUUGCCUUUCAUACCAAGAAAUCGCCAAGUUGAAAUAAAACCAACGAAAGCCUCCUUCCAAUCUUCCUGCAACGAAGCUGCCAUAGCAAUUCAAUUUAGCACACACGUUUUUCUCGAGCAGGAUUAUUGAUCAAAUUAGACUGAAGAAUAUCUCCGCUUAAUUUUGGUUCUUGAUCAGCAGAGGUCCCGUGAAUUAGAAAUCGUUUAUCCUUGAAUAUAAAUCGACCUAAUUGAUCAAUAUCACGACCCACUGUGUUGGAAUGGAGUUUGACUACAGGAAAGGAGGAUCAAACAGAGGUCAAAUGGGAGGAGGAGGAGGAGCAGCACCAUAUGAUGUGUCGAGGCCAAUGUACAAACAACCCUAUGGGGUGUCUCCAUAUGCCCAGGCUCCUAAUUCUUAUUACCCCACUGUUGGUCAAAGUUCUGGCCCUCCCAUCAGCAGGCCGCCUCCUCCAGUUCCCGUUUCUUCAUCGACCUCUUCUUUAUCAUCAGGAACAGGCAUCAGAGUUGCAAUAAAACCAGAAUACCGAAUCACGCCUCCGCCGCAACUGUCACCUCAAUUGGGAGAAAUACCUCGAAGCACUUUCCAGUUUGAUUUUGAUUUUGAGAGGAAGAUACUAGCAGAGGCUGAAAAGGGAAGUCAAAACUGGAACAGAAUUGCAUUAGAAAGUCCUUCUCGGCAAAAAAGUGAACCGAAUUCCUUGGGUUCUGUUGAUGAUCAGAUAAUUAAUAAGUAUGUGGCAAUGGGGCUCAAUAGGGAGGCUGUAUCGUUGGCUGUGACAAGUUUUGGUGAUGAUCAAAAUAAGGUUCGGGAAUUUGUUACUUCAUACAGUUUACUGCGGGAGAUGGGCUUCCCUUCACAUACUGUUGCUGGGGUGUUAGCCAUGUAUGAUAAUGACAGAGAUAAAGCACUGGCACAUUUUCUAAGCAAUCCAUCAUAGGACUAUGGGAAGUCUUUCAACUUUGUUAAUAUACAAGUGAUAUACAAUUAUUUGGUUUAUCUAUGUUAUAAUUUCUUUGGCUUCCAAAUGAGCUGUGCAGCUAUUCAUCUCAAUAUAAAGAUAUAGAUUACAUUCCAGGUUUCCUUUCCUUAGGAAAUUCCGAGUUAUAUGAUGUGUUAACUUGGUAAUGAUUCAAUUGUUUAUAUCCGUUCACUUCUAUCUAAAUUUCUUUGUAAACUUAUUGAAGGUACAUUUUUCCUUAACUUGACAAUUUAGCUUAACAACUUAGUUACAAUUUUGCUCAGAUAUUCAUCUUCAUAUGAUAAGCAGUAAGCAAAUGAUAUGGGCUUACAGAAAAUUACCGACUUUGUAAAUGAAAGUAUUUCUUAUAAUAUUACUCAUUAUAGCUUAAUUCC
Molecule: RNA transcript, 1479 nt
Organism: Cryptomeria japonica (Japanese cedar)
Lineage: Eukaryota; Viridiplantae; Streptophyta; Pinopsida; Cupressales; Cupressaceae
Exons: 6
Source: RefSeq, a predicted model, not a curated record